Molecule: microRNA precursor, 81 nt
Filed under: Bombyx mori (domestic silkworm)
Lineage: Eukaryota; Metazoa; Arthropoda; Insecta; Lepidoptera; Bombycidae
Description: mir-2807 microRNA precursor family
Rfam family: mir-2807 microRNA precursor family
Source: Rfam by way of RNAcentral
UUAACUCAGAUUUGUAUGGAGUUGGAAUGUUUGCCUACGUUUGCCGCUAGGGGCGCUGUUCCAACUGCAUACAAAUUUGUA